UUGGUCAUUUAGAGGAAGUAAAAGUCGUAACAAGGUUUCCGUAGGUGAACCUGCGGAAGGAUCAUUACCUAGAGUUGUAGGCUUUGCCUGCUAUCUCUUACCCAUGUCUUUUGAGUACCUUCGUUUCCUCGGCGGGUCCGCCCGCCGAUUGGACAUAUUCAAACCCUUUGCAGUUGCAAUCAGCGUCUGAACAAACUUAAUAGUUACAACUUUCAACAACGGAUCUCUUGGUUCUGGCAUCGAUGAAGAACGCAGCGAAAUGCGAUAAGUAGUGUGAAUUGCAGAAUUCAGUGAAUCAUCGAAUCUUUGAACGCACAUUGCGCCCCUUGGUAUUCCAUGGAGCAUGCCUGUUCGAGCGUCAUUUGUACCUUCAAGCUUUGCUUGGUGUUGGGUGUUUGUCUCGCCUCUGCGCGCAGACUCGCCUCAAAACAAUUGGCAGCCGGCGUAUUGAUUUCGGAGCGCAGUACAUCUCGCGCUUUGCACUCAUAACGACGACGAUCCAAAAGUACAUUUUUACACUCUUGACCUCGGAUCAGGUAGGGAUACCCGCUGAACUUAAGCAUAUCAAUAAG
RNAcentral lists this ribosomal RNA (572 nucleotides) under uncultured fungus. RNAcentral describes it as "eukaryotic LSU rRNA". The stretch from base 208 to 361 matches the Rfam family "5.8S ribosomal RNA". Lineage: Eukaryota; Fungi. The record is from RNAcentral.